AUGUUCGCGCUUCGCCGCCAGGCCGCUUCCACCUCCGCUCCACUCCUCCGCCGCCGCCUCCUUUACGCCCAGCCCAAUCCCAUGCCCCCUCCGCCAACUCCACGGACGCCGUCCAACGAUGGCGCGUGGGCCUGGGCCGAGCGCGCGGCCAAGCUCUCCCUGCUGGGGUUCACCGGCGCCGCCACCGCCUGCGCCGUCAGGGACACCUCCGUCUUCCUCGAUCGCACCAGGGUGGAGUAUGUUUCCAACAAGGUAAUGGAGAUGGCUGCUCAGAACCAGCAGGUAGCGAGCGCGAUCGGCGGGCCUAUGACGCCGGGGUUCUGGCACAGCAUUUCCAUUGCCUGGAAGUGGAACCUCGCCAGGCAUUACCUCUCCGGCACUCUCCAGGUAUCCGGGCCCCAAGGAGACGGCCUUCUUACCUUCCAGGCGGUUCGCUCUAGAGAUAAAUCUUGGUUCCGGUUUCUACGGUACAGCGACUGGGAGAUACCCAUAAUGGAUGCCAUCCUUGAUGUUCGUACUGAUGACGGGAAGCACCAAAGAAUUACGGUAAGGAUUCCAGACAACAUGACUGCUCCACCACCUCAAGAGAAGACACGUUAUUUCGUCAUUACUCAGAACAUGAUCGCUAUCAAGAGGUGA
RNAcentral lists this ribosomal RNA (639 nucleotides) under Triticum aestivum (bread wheat). RNAcentral describes it as "partial small subunit ribosomal RNA". Lineage: Eukaryota; Viridiplantae; Streptophyta; Magnoliopsida; Poales; Poaceae. The record is from RNAcentral.